Molecule: long non-coding RNA, 771 nt
Organism: Neltuma alba
Lineage: Eukaryota; Viridiplantae; Streptophyta; Magnoliopsida; Fabales; Fabaceae
Exons: 6
Source: RefSeq, a predicted model, not a curated record
GAUGGCAUAUAGAGUUCGACCGCUAGACAGAAAAGAAAUUUGAUGAAUCUUUUAUGGCAAAGCUAUCUAAGAUUGCUGUCUCUGAGAUUAUACCUUCCAAGGUCUCAGUUUUCAUUCAGGAAAAUUCGGAACUCAACUCUAAUUGGCUAGCAAUGGGCCUGCUUGUUGCAAAUUGGAUCACAUUUACCUGACAUAGAAUUGCAGAUGACGGAUGAGAUUUAUCUUCAUUUAUCAGGGCUAACUUCAGCAUUACCAGCUAUGAUCAUUCACAAAUUCUAUCAAUUCUCGGCAAUGUGCGGGGAUGUACACUGGCCAGUUUUUUUUGCCAAUGGAAUCAGAAGAAUCAAGAUAUCACUUUUGAGGUAGCAUUAAAAAGUGGUUCAUACUCAAAAACUCCCGGUUCGGGUGGCAUCAGUGGAAGCCUUAGGUGAGAUGGUUGGUCAUAUUCAUUGCUUAUGUUUUGGUGCGAGACAGGAAUACCACAAAUAUUUAGAGUAACCAAAGUAUUUAUAGUACGGUUUGAUUUUCUUCUUUCCUGUUGUCAGGCAUAAAAAGAAUGAAGCUAUCGCUUUUUUGGCCACAUAUAGUAUCCACAACCUCUUAAAUGCAUCUUUACUAUCAGAAAGUGGUCCUCCUUUGCUUGAUUUUGAGGUAGCAUUAAAAAUAAAGUUCAUAUUAAAAAAUUCCCGAUCAGUUGAGUAUCUUUGUCUUGGACUCUAGUUCUCCUAUGUUUUUUUGGCCUGUAUCAUUAUGUUACUAGGUUUUCUCAAU